GGAAAAGUAGGAGGAAGACUGUGGAGCAAAAUAGGUCCAUACAAAAUAUUUACCUGGGAUCUUGAGUGCCUCCAACCUGGAGAGAAGCUUGAGAGUGAGGUUAUCAAUGCCUACCUCACUUGCAUAGCAAGCAGGUAUGCAGGAAAGGCAUUUGUCAUUGAUUCAUUUCAGAUGACAAAUCUGUGGAAUGGCAAGGCCAAUGAAAUAAAGAAGAUGAAUCUGCAGGUUUAUGAUUUGCUGGUGGGCUCUGUAAAUGAGGGUGACCGCUGGACACUGCUGGCAAUAUAUCCAAAGGAAGGAAAUAUCAUUUAUAUGAACUCCUGUGGUGAAAGCACCAGGAAAUUGCCAGCUGCCUUAAGGUAA
Long non-coding RNA from Cyprinus carpio (common carp), 363 nucleotides. The record is from Ensembl. Lineage: Eukaryota; Metazoa; Chordata; Actinopteri; Cypriniformes; Cyprinidae.